UCGGGAAUUUUGGGCAAUGGGCGAAAGCCUGACCCAGCAACGCCGCGUGAGGGAUGAAGUAUUUCGGUAUGUAAACCUCGAAAGAAUGGGAAGAAUAAAUGACGGUACCAUUUAUAAGCUCCGGCUAACUACGUGCCAGCAGCCGCGGUAAUACGUAGGGAGCAAGCGUUGUUCGGAUUUACUGGGCGUAAAGGGCGCGUAGGCGGCGCGGUAAGUCACUUGUGAAAUCUCUGAGCUUAACUCAGAACGGCCAAGUGAUACUGCUGUGCUAGAGUGCGGAAGAGGCAACCGGAAUUCUUGGUGUAGCGGUGAAAUGCGUAGAUAUCAAGAGGAACACCUGAGGCGAAGGCGGGUUGCUGGGCCGACACUGACGCUGAUGCGCGAAAGCCAGGGG
Molecule: ribosomal RNA, 394 nt
Filed under: uncultured bacterium
Lineage: Bacteria
Description: bacterial SSU rRNA
Rfam family: Bacterial small subunit ribosomal RNA
Source: RNAcentral